This 178-nucleotide non-coding RNA is filed under the name uncultured Solibacillus sp. RNAcentral describes it as "Lysine riboswitch". It matches the Rfam family "Lysine riboswitch aptamer". Rfam says of the family: Riboswitches are metabolite binding domains within certain messenger RNAs that serve as precision sensors for their corresponding targets. Lineage: Bacteria; Bacillati; Bacillota; Bacilli; Caryophanales; Caryophanaceae. The record is from RNAcentral.
UGAGGUAGAGGUGCGGUAUUUAAUAGUUUUGUAUGGAGUCAUUGAGCUGACAGUGAAGUAUAAAAGAAGGAAAUAUCGCCGAAGUGUUGUUUUAGCUCGAUUUAACAGCGCUGGGUCUGUAAUAAAUAAUUGCAGGACUGUCUCAAUCUUCUUCCCGGAUGAUUGAGGUGUGCUAUCU